UGGCGUGCUAGCGUGUAGCGUGGUUGGUGAUAGGUUACAGUGCUGUCUGUAUGUGUAGCCACCCGUCUGUCAGUCAGGGAGUCGCUUUCGUUGUACUAGCAUCUUUGUACAUGGUAUCAGUAGGUUUGGUUGGAUCCGUGGUGGUGGUCGGCUGGCGGCGCUGGAUUCGCCGGUGCCGAGACCUGGUUUCUGGAAUGUCGCCGGUGCCGAGACCUGGUUUCUGGAAUGCCAUCAACCUUUUUUUAAAAGUCUUGCUUUUUCGAUGAAGGGCGCCAUUUAUCGAUUCAUAAUGUAGCAUCGAGCCAUACAAUCACAAUGAGUAUACACCCGGCCUCUGC
Molecule: long non-coding RNA, 338 nt
Filed under: Triticum aestivum (bread wheat)
Lineage: Eukaryota; Viridiplantae; Streptophyta; Magnoliopsida; Poales; Poaceae
Description: long non-coding RNA (TAES_LNC019825)
Source: RNAcentral